GGGGAAUAUUGGGCAAUGGGGGAAACCCUGACCCAGCAACGCCGCGUGAGGGAAGAAGGUUCUCGGAUCGUAAACCUCUGUCCUAUGAGAAGAGGGGAAGACGGUAUCAUAGGAGGAAGCCCCGGCUAACUACGUGCCAGCAGCCGCGGUAAUACGUAGGGGGCGAGCGUUGUCCGGAAUGAUUGGGCGUAAAGGGCGCGUAGGCGGCUUUAUAAGUCUGGAGUGAAAGUCCUGUUUUCAAGAUGGGAAUUGCUUUGGAUACUGUAGAGCUUGAGUGCAGGAGAGGUUAUCGGAAUUCCCGGUGUAGCGGUGAAAUGCGUAGAGAUCGGGAGGAACACCAGUGGCGAAGGCGGGUAACUGGACUGCAACUGACGCUGAGGCGCGAAAGUGUGGGGAGCAAAC
This 402-nucleotide ribosomal RNA is filed under the name uncultured bacterium. Its description in RNAcentral is "bacterial SSU rRNA". It matches the Rfam family "Bacterial small subunit ribosomal RNA", at positions 356 to 773 of the family's 1533-position model. The record is from RNAcentral.